RNAcentral lists this long non-coding RNA (366 nucleotides) under Daucus carota (carrot). Its description in RNAcentral is "long non-coding RNA (DCAR_LNC000901)". The record is from RNAcentral. Lineage: Eukaryota; Viridiplantae; Streptophyta; Magnoliopsida; Apiales; Apiaceae.
GGAUGGAUUAAAAUAGGACAGAUCAAAAUCAUUUAAUAUCGAAAGGAGUAGCGCUGAAUAAAAAGAAUAGAAUCCGUACGAACACACCGAACAGAAAGGAUCAAAACAGAGUAAUCAAAUUUACUUAACACUAAUAGAAGUAGUGCUGAAUAAAAGAGAACGAAAUCCGUACCUCGAAAAUAGCAAACUCAAAGACUAACGAACCUCGCAAAGGACCAACUAAACUCCCGAACCCCGACUUUAACUUAAACUCCAAAUAUCUCCAUUGUUCCAAUCUGCCCAGAUCAAUAAUCUACUGUUUUGACCCUCUAAACGAUGUUUUAUGGAAAAACUCAAAACACGAAAGUCGUAGAGAACGAAAAGACC